RNAcentral lists this long non-coding RNA (501 nucleotides) under Brachypodium distachyon (stiff brome). Its description in RNAcentral is "long non-coding RNA (BDIS_LNC000596)". The record is from RNAcentral. Lineage: Eukaryota; Viridiplantae; Streptophyta; Magnoliopsida; Poales; Poaceae.
UACUUAUGUCAGAAAUAAUUGUCUAACAAAUGUCCAACCAUCUUUGAAAUUAAUGAGAAAUAGACCAUUGAGGUGUUCAUCCAUCACGAAGCUGCUAGCAAAAUUGUUCCAUCGAACCAACCAAAUUGUGCCAAUCAACAUUGUUCCAUGUAACCAACCAAAAUUGUGCCAAUCAACAUUGUUCCAUGUAACCAACCAAAAUUGUGCAGAUUAGAAACAACAACCACGACGAGCCCGGCCGAUGCCAGCGGUAGAGGAGGAGGUCGGCAUGGCGAAGUUUGGGGCGGUGGGAGCAGGUUGGCGUGUCCGGGUCGGUGAGAGCCGGAGGCGCGUCCUGGGCGGGGUGAGAGUCGGAGGCGCAUCCGAGGGAUGGCGGUGACGAGCUCCUGCCAAACCGCCGGCGACGAGCUCGAUGAGAGAUGAACAACAGGCGGGGGGUGGGGGUGGAGGGAGGAGGCCGCGGCCACUGGAGAGAUGGGGGAAGGGGCGGUGGAGGCUGGC